This 87-nucleotide transfer RNA is filed under the name Pseudodesulfovibrio mercurii. Its description in RNAcentral is "tRNA-Leu (CAA) (tRNA-Leu-CAA-1-1)". It matches the Rfam family "tRNA". Rfam says of the family: Transfer RNA (tRNA) molecules are approximately 80 nucleotides in length. Their secondary structure includes four short double-helical elements and three loops (D, anti-codon, and T loops). The record is from RNAcentral. Lineage: Bacteria; Pseudomonadati; Thermodesulfobacteriota; Desulfovibrionia; Desulfovibrionales; Desulfovibrionaceae.
GCCAGGGUGGCGGAAUUGGUAGACGCAGCGGACUCAAAAUCCGCCGGUAGUGAUACUGUGAGGGUUCGAGUCCCUCCCCUGGUACCA